UCGUAUUUUAGUUUUAGUGCGGAUCGUGAAUUCCGCCACUAUAUCACAGUCGAUCGUUCGCAUCGCAUGCUUAUAGAAGGAACAAGAAGACGUUGAACGGCGACUCGAUCGGAAUGAUGCUGUGUUUUAUUCUGAAGCCGGUGAGAACGGUGACUUCGAGUAAUGGAGCGCUAGCUCCGUUUUCAAGUUCAGCACUAAUGACGCGAUUUUCCUCUGCAUUAUGUUGAUACUAGAAUACAUGCCUAGAAAAGAAAGGGAAGCAUGAAGAGGAUGCCUUCUGCUGCUAAUGCAACGAAUGGUUUUGGUAAUCAAUCGGUAACUAUUGCAUCUCUUUUGCUUUUUAUACUCUUGCAUGUGGUGAUCCAGAUUAAUUAGUUGCAUUAACUUAGUACUAUUAUGAUCUGCUCAUGAGGUAAAUACUAUGAUUUCAUAUUCACUAAAACUAUGAUAAAGAAAUGAUAAAGGGGACUUUGGAAUGCUGAUGAAAAUUAACCUAAAUGAAAAGGACUAUAACUUGUUGUUUUGAA
Long non-coding RNA from Cucumis melo (muskmelon), 527 nucleotides. RefSeq lists it as uncharacterized. The transcript is spliced from 2 exons. Lineage: Eukaryota; Viridiplantae; Streptophyta; Magnoliopsida; Cucurbitales; Cucurbitaceae. The record is from RefSeq and is a predicted model, not a curated record.